Long non-coding RNA from Apis cerana (Asiatic honeybee), 415 nucleotides. RefSeq lists it as uncharacterized. Lineage: Eukaryota; Metazoa; Arthropoda; Insecta; Hymenoptera; Apidae. The record is from RefSeq and is a predicted model, not a curated record.
UCUCAGACAGCGAUUUUGGAAGAUUUUCGUGAAAGAGCAUAUUAUUUUUUGAAUCAUAUUCAGUAUAUCUCUUAUAUAUUCAUUAUUACAAUUUUGUACCGGUUACUCUUUCAAGAAAAAUCCACUUUGUUUCAUUGGGCUGUAAUGAUACUGAUCUAUUUUUUUCGAGCAUCAGUAGAUCCCGGAACAAGGCGUUUACGUUAUGAUUCGUCUUGGCAGAUGUCUCCAAAAAACCACAUCCCCAAUUUGCGGCUUCUGCUGCACCUUCGCUCAUUGAUACUUCACGCACUGAUGGACUCUCAUCACAUUUAUUUCCAACCUGUUAAAUAAUUAAAAGAAUCGAAUCGAAAAAUCAAAUCAUAAAUUUGUUAUUUUUUUAUUUAUAAUUAAAAAAUAAAAUUUAUAUGAAAAAUUA